Molecule: transfer RNA, 71 nt
Filed under: Synchytrium microbalum
Lineage: Eukaryota; Fungi; Chytridiomycota; Chytridiomycetes; Synchytriales; Synchytriaceae
Rfam family: tRNA
About the family: Transfer RNA (tRNA) molecules are approximately 80 nucleotides in length.
Source: Rfam by way of RNAcentral
AGGGGCGUAGCUCAAUGGUAGAGUACUAGUUUUGGGAAUUAGUGACGAAGGUUCGAUUCCUUCCGACCCGA